RNAcentral lists this ribosomal RNA (233 nucleotides) under uncultured bacterium. RNAcentral's name for it is "partial 16S ribosomal RNA". It matches the Rfam family "Bacterial small subunit ribosomal RNA", at positions 118 to 350 of the family's 1533-position model. The record is from RNAcentral.
UGGGCAACCUGCCCUCAGCUCUGGGAUAAACCCCGGGAAACCGGGGCUAAUACCGGAUACGACCUCCUCGGGCAUCCGUGGAGGUGGAAAGGUUUUUCCGGCUGAGGAUGGGCCCGCGGCCUAUCAGCUAGUUGGUGGGGUGACGGCCUACCAAGGCGACGACGGGUAGCCGGCCUGAGAGGGCGACCGGCCACACUGGGACUGAGACACGGCCCAGACUCCUACGGGAGGCA